Non-coding RNA from Pelobates cultripes (western spadefoot toad), 342 nucleotides. The record is from the annotation of a GenBank genome assembly. NCBI's taxonomy places the organism in Eukaryota, Metazoa, Chordata, Amphibia, Anura, Pelobatidae.
CCGGAGUGCAGGGGAGCUAAAAGAGGUACCUGGCUGGAGGAUUAAUUAUUCUCCACCCGGGUCUAUUUAAAAAAAAAAAAAAAAAAAAUCGCGGCAGAGGGGGCGGGGUUUACCGAGCGGCGGAGGCGGGGCUUAUCGAGAGGCGGAGACGGGGCUAAUACCUCCCGAAGCCCCUGCUGUACAGGAAGAGGGAAAGAUGCUUCCCCAUCAGCCAACUGCAUCCACUGGAAAGAGGUAAGUGUGUGUGUGUGACUGUUUGCCUGUUUGUGUGACUGUCUGUCUGUGUGUGUGUGUGACUGUCUGUCUGUGUGACUGCCUGCCUGUGUGCGUGUGACUGUCUGU